GGACGGGUGAGUAACGCGUGGGUAACCUACCCCAAAGUCCGGGAUAACAGCGGGAAACCGCUGCUAAUACCGGAUGCCUUUACCUUGGGGCAUCUUGAGGUAAAGAAAGGCAACGCUUUGGGAUGGGCCCGCGUUCCAUUAGCUAGUUGGUGAGGUAACGGCUCACCAAGGCGACGAUGGGUAGCCGGCCUGAGAGGGUGGACGGCCACACUGGGACUGAGACACGGCCCAGACUCCUACGGGAGGCAGCAGUAGGGAAUAUUGCGCAAUGGACGGAAGUCUGACGCAGCGACGCCGCGUGAGCGAUGAAGGUCUUCGGAUCGUAAAGCUCUGUCCUUGGGGAAGAAGGCGAAAGCUUGACGGUACCCAAGAAGAAAGCCCCGGCUAACUACGUGCCAGCAGCCGCGGUAAUACGUAGGGGGCGAGCGUUGUCCGGAAUUACUGGGCGUAAAG
Molecule: ribosomal RNA, 453 nt
Filed under: uncultured bacterium
Lineage: Bacteria
Description: bacterial SSU rRNA
Rfam family: Bacterial small subunit ribosomal RNA
Source: RNAcentral